RNAcentral lists this ribosomal RNA (460 nucleotides) under uncultured bacterium. RNAcentral's name for it is "partial 16S ribosomal RNA". It matches the Rfam family "Bacterial small subunit ribosomal RNA", at positions 338 to 795 of the family's 1533-position model. The record is from RNAcentral.
CCUACGGGAGGCAGCAGUGAGGAAUAUUGGUCAAUGGGCGCGAGCCUGAACCAGCCAAGUCGCGUGAAGGAUGACUGCCCUACGGGUUGUAAACUUCUUUUAUAAAGGAGUAAAGUGAGGCACGUGUGCCUUUUUGUAUGUACUUUAUGAAUAAGGAUCGGCUAACUCCGUGCCAGCAGCCGCGGUAAUACGGAGGAGCCGAGCGUUAUCCGGAUUUAUUGGGUUUAAAGGGAGCGUAGAUGGGUUGUUAAGCCAGUUGGGAAAGUUUGGGGCUCAACCGUAAAAUUGCAAUUGAUACUGGCAGCCUUGAGUGCAGUUGAGGUAGGCGGAAUUCGUGGUGUAGCGGUGAAAUGCUUAGAUAUCACGAAGAACUCCGAUUGCGAAGGCAGCUUACUAAACUGCCACUGACAUUGAGGCUCGAAAGUGUGGGUAUCAAACAGGAUUAGAUACCCUUGUAGUC